GAUUAUUUAACUAUACAAGUAUAUAUUUUGAAAAUAUAAAAAAGAAUCUUUAUUUCUAAUAAUCU
RNAcentral lists this transfer RNA (65 nucleotides) under Ixodes woyliei. RNAcentral describes it as "tRNA-Ser". Lineage: Eukaryota; Metazoa; Arthropoda; Arachnida; Ixodida; Ixodidae. The record is from RNAcentral.